This 329-nucleotide ribosomal RNA is filed under the name uncultured bacterium. Its description in RNAcentral is "bacterial SSU rRNA". It matches the Rfam family "Bacterial small subunit ribosomal RNA", at positions 568 to 898 of the family's 1533-position model. The record is from RNAcentral.
UGCGCAGGCGGCUUUAUAAGACAGGCGUGAAAUCCCCGGGCUUAACCUGGGAACUGCGCUUGUGACUGUAAGGCUAGAGUUUGUCAGAGGGGGGUGGAAUUCCACGUGUAGCAGUGAAAUGCGUAGAGAUGUGGAGGAACACCGAUGGCGAAGGCAGCCCCCUGGGAUAAAACUGACGCUCAGGCACGAAAGCGUGGGGAGCAAACAGGAUUAGAUACCCUGGUAGUCCACGCCCUAAACGAUGUCGACUAGUUGUCGGGGAUUAACUUCCUCGGUAACGCAGCUAACGCGUGAAGUCGACCGCCUGGGGAUACGGUCGCAAGAUUAAA